UCCUCGCUCAAAGAAUCGCAUUCAAAGCUCACACACAAAAGGAAGCCUCGCUCCCUUUUCCAAUUUUGCUUUGGGAGAAAGUCCCCGGACACCCUGCGCUUUGGGUAAAACCAAAGUACCAAGCCAGGCACUGCGGAAACGCGCCGCCAUAGAAGCAAUUCGAUAGCGGCUUACGCCCUAUUCCCUCACGGUAUCCCGUGCCACCCGACGGUUACAUUUCAUGAUGUCUCUGGAAACAAUGGGGUGUGUGCUGGGUAUUGGAGGGGGGAAGGAUUGGUGGUAAAACAUCUUUCCUUGUAUUGGGUUGCCUUUCGUCAUGUUCGGAUAGUCAUGCGAUUGCCUCCUGUCUGCUUCCUCGGAAGCCGAUGGAGGUAACUCAAUGGGGCUCAUUCUUGAGGCGAGG
This is a non-coding RNA of Penicillium camemberti, 403 nucleotides long. The record is from Rfam. Lineage: Eukaryota; Fungi; Ascomycota; Eurotiomycetes; Eurotiales; Aspergillaceae.